CCGACUUAUGAUAUGUAGAGUUUGGUUGUAGCUGGCUCCUAAUUAACUUGGGGGCAUGUGCACACCUUUCUCUUUCAUCCCAUACACACCUGUGCACCUGUGAGACAGAUGUUUUGUGGGGGGGAAGGAACUUUAUUGGACCUUCUACUCCCCCUUGACUUCUGUCUACUUAAUUCAUAUAAACUCAAUUUAUUUUAAAACGGAUGUAAUGGAUGUAACACAUCUAAUACUAAGUUUCAACAACGGAUCUCUUGGCUCUCGCAUCGAUGAAGAACGCAGCGAAAUGCGAUAAGUAAUGUGAAUUGCAGAAUUCAGUGAAUCAUCGAAUCUUUGAACGCACCUUGCGCUCCUUGGUAUUCCUUGGAGCAUGCCUGUUUGAGUAUCAUGAAAUCUUCAAAGUCAAACCUUUUGUUAAUUCAAUUGGUUCUGCUUUGGUAUUGGAGGAUUAUUGCAGCUUCACACCUGCUCCUCUUUGUGCAUUAGCUGGAUCUCAGUGUUAUGCUUGGUUCCACUCAGCGUGAUAAGUUAUCUAUCGCUGAGGACACCCUGUUAAAAAGGGGUGGCCAAGGUAAAUGCAGAUGAACCGCUUCUAAUAGUCCAUUGACUUGGACAAUAUCUAAUUUAUGAUCUGAUCUCAAAUCAGGUAGGACUACCCGCUGAACUUAAGCAUAUCAUAAAGCGGAGGAAGAAGGCUUUGGGGAAAUAAAGACUAAUCAUUUUCGCACCUUACCUACUAACUGGGGGGAUGAGCCUCUUUUCUUUUCUGCAAUACACUGUGCCUGGAACAAGUUUUGUGGAGGGGAAGAAUUUGGCCAUCCCUUGAAUGGUCAUAGUUAUAACAUUAUUUAAGAGAGUAGGGAGUUCUAUCAGUUCCACGAAUCUGGGUCUCCCAAAUAUCGAUAUGACUAGAGGGUAUAUAGGUAUAUAUAUCUACUAGGAGGGGAACUCA
This 949-nucleotide ribosomal RNA is filed under the name Rhizoctonia solani AG-4 HGII. Its description in RNAcentral is "eukaryotic LSU rRNA". The stretch from base 232 to 385 matches the Rfam family "5.8S ribosomal RNA". The record is from RNAcentral. Lineage: Eukaryota; Fungi; Basidiomycota; Agaricomycetes; Cantharellales; Ceratobasidiaceae.